This 68-nucleotide transfer RNA is filed under the name Hycleus scutellatus. RNAcentral's name for it is "tRNA-Trp". The record is from RNAcentral. Lineage: Eukaryota; Metazoa; Arthropoda; Insecta; Coleoptera; Meloidae.
AAGGAUUUAAGUUAAAAACAAACUAACAACCUUCAAAGUUGUAAACAGAGAGAAAGGCUCUAAGCCUU